This 253-nucleotide ribosomal RNA is filed under the name uncultured bacterium. RNAcentral describes it as "partial 16S ribosomal RNA". It matches the Rfam family "Bacterial small subunit ribosomal RNA", at positions 524 to 776 of the family's 1533-position model. The record is from RNAcentral.
UACGGAGGGUGCAAGCGUUAUCCGGAUUUACUGGGUUUAAAGGGUGUGUAGGCGGACUUUUAAGUCAGCGGUGAAAUCUCCGGGCUCAACCCGGAAACUGCCAUUGAUACUAUUAGUCUUGAAUGUUGUUGAGGUGGGCGGAACGGGUCAUGUAGCGGUGAAAUGCAUAGAUAUGACCCGGAACACCGAUUGCGAAGGCAGCCCACUAAGCAACUAUUGACGCAGAGGCACGAAAGCGUGGGGAUCAAACAGG